AGUGAACGCUGGCGGUAGGCCUAACACAUGCAAGUCGAACGGCAGCACAGUAAGAGCUUGCUCUUACGGGUGGCGAGUGGCGGACGGGUGAGGAAUACAUCGGAAUCUACUUUUUCGUGGGGGAUAGCGUAGGGAAACUUACGCUAAUACCGCAUACGACCUACGGGUGAAAGCAGGGGAUCUUCGGACCUUGCGCGAUUGAAUGAGCCGAUGUCGGAUUAGCUAGUUGGCGGGGUAAAGGCCCACCAAGGCGACGAUCCGUAGCUGGUCUGAGAGGAUGAUCGGCGGCACUGGAAGGGGGACACGGUCCAGACUCCUACGGGAGGCAGCAGUGGGGAAUGUUGGGCGAUGGGCGGAAGCCUGAUGGAGCCAGGCCGCGUGGGUGAAGAAGGCCUUCGGGUUGUAAAGCCCUGUUGUUGGGGAAGAAAAGCAGCGGGUGAAUACCCGGCUGUUCUGACGGUACCCAAAGAGUAAGCACCGGCUAACUUCGUG
This 492-nucleotide ribosomal RNA is filed under the name uncultured bacterium. RNAcentral describes it as "partial 16S ribosomal RNA". It matches the Rfam family "Bacterial small subunit ribosomal RNA", at positions 30 to 507 of the family's 1533-position model. The record is from RNAcentral.